CCCCUUAUAUAAGGUUUUUUUUUCUUGUCAGAUUGAACGCUGGCGGCAGGCCUAACACAUGCAAGUCGAGCGGUAGAGAGAAGCUUGCUUCUCUUGAGAGCGGCGGACGGGUGAGUAAUGCCUAGGAAUCUGCCUGGUAGUGGGGGAUAACGUUCGGAAACGGACGCUAAUACCGCAUACGUCCUACGGGAGAAAGCAGGGGACCUUCGGGCCUUGCGCUAUCAGAUGAGCCUAGGUCGGAUUAGCUAGUUGGUGAGGUAAUGGCUCACCAAGGCGACGAUCCGUAACUGGUCUGAGAGGAUGAUCAGUCACACUGGAACUGAGACACGGUCCAGACUCCUACGGGAGGCAGCAGUGGGGAAUAUUGGACAAUGGGCGAAAGCCUGAUCCAGCCAUGCCGCGUGUGUGAAGAAGGUCUUCGGAUUGUAAAGCACUUUAAGUUGGGAGGAAGGGCAGUUACCUAAUACGUGAUUGUUUUGACGUUACCGACAGAAUAAGCACCGGCUAACUCUGUGCCAGCAGCCGCGGUAAUACAGAGGGUGCAAGCGUUAAUCGGAAUUACUGGGCGUAAAGCGCGCGUAGGUGGUUAGUUAAGUUGGAUGUGAAAUCCCCGGGCUCAACCUGGGAACUGCAUUCAAAACUGACUGACUAGAGUAUGGUAGAGGGUGGUGGAAUUUCCUGUGUAGCGGUGAAAUGCGUAGAUAUAGGAAGGAACACCAGUGGCGAAGGCGACCACCUGGACUGAUACUGACACUGAGGUGCGAAAGCGUGGGGAGCAAACAGGAUUAGAUACCCUGGUAGUCCACGCCGUAAACGAUGUCAACUAGCCGUUGGGAGCCUUGAGCUCUUAGUGGCGCAGCUAACGCAUUAAGUGACCGCUGGGAGACGCGACUUGG
Molecule: ribosomal RNA, 896 nt
Filed under: Pseudomonas veronii
Lineage: Bacteria; Pseudomonadati; Pseudomonadota; Gammaproteobacteria; Pseudomonadales; Pseudomonadaceae
Description: bacterial SSU rRNA
Rfam family: Bacterial small subunit ribosomal RNA
Source: RNAcentral